Molecule: long non-coding RNA, 290 nt
Filed under: Jatropha curcas
Lineage: Eukaryota; Viridiplantae; Streptophyta; Magnoliopsida; Malpighiales; Euphorbiaceae
Description: long non-coding RNA (JCUR_LNC000797)
Source: RNAcentral
UCUUUAGCUUGGCAGUGGCUAGUUGGUAAAAUUUUAUGACAUUUGCUAAAUGAGUUUAUAUUAUUGCUAUAUAUAUUUAUGAUUCGUAUUUGACAUUGUUGUUGCUAAGGAUUAAGGAUGUGAUUGACAAAGAAAUGUGAACUAUAGUUUGGGAUGACAAUAAAUUUAAUUGAAUGUUAUUUCUUGCAGCAAUAAAGUUGGAUAUUGGUUAAUACGCAAGUUUCUUGACGAAUAUAUAAAUGAAGGAAUUAGUUUAUAGAAAUUGAAGGGUUGAGUAAGAACCUGAUUUU